UAAUUAACUCAGAAAAAUAAAGGUUAUCUAGCAGGUAUUUGUGGGAAAAAUUUCACCACUGCUUCGCUUGCGAUCGUUUCGAGUUCAGAAAUUGCAUAGUAUCCUUUCAACAAUGUAUUUGACGAGUAAGAUUUUGUUGUGCUUCUUGUUCUUUAACACCGAUGGUUUAUUUUUUUCCAAAGAAACUUUAGUUUUCGCUUUUGAAAACCCAUCAACGCAUGGUCUUGCUAUUCGCACUGCUAUAAAAACAGCAAUCAAAGUUUCAUCUCAUUUCCUCGGAUCAUGGAGACCAAUGACUCUCUUCACACCAUUGGACGAAACUAGUUUGGUUAAUCUAACGUCUCAGUCACUUGAUAUGCGAAUUCUUACUUCUAAAACUGUGGCAACCGUGACUGGAGGUGUUUUUGGCCAAGAUAAUUACCAAUUUCAUAAGUAUUCGUGCUAUUGGAAUACUGGCUCAAGUAUGGCUUGAGGAUUGCUGAAUGCGACGGAAAAAUUAUCUUCUUUUUUCAAUUUUUGGCGAAUUUUUAAAAAUUUAAAUUUUUGCCAUAAAUGAGAAAAAUUUUAAAUUUUACCAAACUGACUUGGAAAGCUGAAAUUUGAUGUUUAUUUUACUUUUGGGCUCUCGAUUAGAUAUGUGAUCUUUUCGAACCGUUCUGGAGACUCCAGCAGAUUUUAAUUUUUUUCCUUCCUCAAUUCAUUUUUUUUGGUUUUGUUUUUUGUAUAUUUGUAUAGAACCAGUAUGGAGUGUCGAGUAUAUUUCUUCAACUUGAAAUACAAUACAUAAGUACAAAAAGGCUUUAGAUUACGAUGACGGAAUUAUGAUCAUGAAUUCUCCAGUUGCAACUGAUGGUCAUUUUCCUAACCCGUUGUUUUAUGGACUUUCUGAACUAUUUGGAAAAAAACUGAAAUGACCCGGAGACUUCUCCGAGGUUCAUAGCGCUUUCACCUACCGAUGGUACGUGAAUUUCCCCCUUGAUAGUAUUUAUGAGAGUUAUACCGCUGAUUUCUACGAUGAAGAAUUUGGAAAAAAAUUUUGUGCUGUUGUGAUUAACUUGCCUGUGAAUCAGCAUUUGAAUUACAUUUCAAGAGAACAGUUCCUACAAACGUUUGGAAAACUUGUAGGAAUUUCGCAGAAAGCUGUGACUAAUGGUUUCCUUCAAAAUGCAGGUGUUGCUAAGACGCCAGUGGAAAGGCACAAAGGAAUUAGCGUUUGUAAUCUCCACGCAUGAUUAUACCUUAAUGUGAUUUGAAAUAUGUGAAUUAUGAAUAUUAAUGAUUAAAAUAAAUGUUCUCGUUGUUUA
Long non-coding RNA from Planococcus citri (citrus mealybug), 1304 nucleotides. RefSeq lists it as uncharacterized. The record is from RefSeq and is a predicted model, not a curated record. Lineage: Eukaryota; Metazoa; Arthropoda; Insecta; Hemiptera; Pseudococcidae. The transcript has 5 exons.